AACGAACGCUGGCGACAGGCUUAACUCAUGCAAGUCGAGCGCCCCGCAAGGGGAGCGGCAGACGGGUGAGUAACACGUGGGAAUCUACCCAUCCCUGCGGAACAACUCCGGGAAACUGGAGCUAAUACCGCAUACGCCCUACGGGGGAAAGAUUUAUCGGGGAUGGAUGAGCCCGCGUUGGAUUAGCUAGUUGGUGGGGU
RNAcentral lists this ribosomal RNA (200 nucleotides) under uncultured bacterium. RNAcentral's name for it is "partial 16S ribosomal RNA". It matches the Rfam family "Bacterial small subunit ribosomal RNA", at positions 29 to 258 of the family's 1533-position model. The record is from RNAcentral.